UUAAAGACUGUUCUCAGUUCGGACUGCAGUCUGCAACUCGACUGCACGAAGCUGGAAUCGCUAGUAAUCGCGGAUCAGCACGCCGCGGUGAAUACGUUCCCGGGCCUUGUACACACCGCCCGUCACACCAUGGAAGUCUGCAAUGCCCGAAGCCGGUGGCCUAACCACUUAUGUGGAAGGAGCCGUCUAAGGCAGGGCAGAUGACUGGGGUGAAGUCGUAACAAGGUACC
Molecule: ribosomal RNA, 230 nt
Filed under: uncultured bacterium
Lineage: Bacteria
Description: partial 16S ribosomal RNA
Rfam family: Bacterial small subunit ribosomal RNA
Source: RNAcentral